AUCCAUGGAUUCCAUGUCUUGGGAUGGAAAAAAGUUUGCAUGGAUUUUGAGUUACAUUGACUGCCAGAAGACAAGAAAACUUUAAAAAAUAUCUAGGGUCAUACUGAAAAGACAAAAGAGAUAGUUUUUAAAAACUUCUACUUGCCAAGUUAUAACAGUUUGAAUAUCAAAACAGAAUAUUAACCAUAGCUAAUUGGAAUGAAUUGAAUCUAUAUGAAAGUUAUGGCAUUCCAAGACAAAAUAAGUUCAUUAAAGAUGAUAAUUAUGAUACAAAAGAAGAAUGAAUACAAUUUUUAAGUUAACCAAAAUUAGUAGCGGACUAUUGACAUAUAUGAUGUUCUGUUUUUCAGAUGCAUGUGUGUAUUUUUUUACCUACCUCUGUGCAUAAUGGAGAGGGAUGGGCAAAAUAGUUCUCAAAGGGGAUGGGAAUUGCACAAAGAGCAGAAGGGCCUAUAACCUCAAUGGACCAUGGACAAGAACUAGGUGGAAAGCAUGGCAGUGGGUUGCCAUAUGAUGGAUUGUUCAAAAUUUAGAAAGAAGAGCUGAUAGUUCAACUUAGCUUCUUGUCUCCUAGAAAAUGAAACCUCUAGAUGACUCAACUGAUUUUACUGAGAUACAAAAACUAUAUAAUGAGUUAAAUUGUAAAUCAAAGCUACACAUCCUCCAUUAGUUUGCUAGGGCUGUUGUAACACAGCACCACAGACUUAAACAGAAAUUUAUUUUCUCACAGUCUAGAAGCUAAAAGUCUGAGAUCAAGGUGUCAGCAGUUUCUUUCUGAAGGCUGAGAGGGAGAAUCUGUUUCCUGGCCUUUCCACUCGGCUUAUAGAUACCAUCUUCUCCCUGUGUCUUCACAUUAUCUUCCCUCUGUAUGUGUCUAUGUCCCAAUUUCCUCUUCUUGUAAGGACACCAGUCAUAUUGGAUUAGGGUGCACCCUAAUGACCUCACUUUCAUUUAAUUACCUCUUUAAAGAUUCUGACUCCAAAUACAGUUAUAUUCUGAGGAACUAUGGGUUAGGACUUCAAGCUAUGAAUCUUUGGAAGGACAGAAUUCAGCCUAUAACAUGUCCCAUGACAUGGAUGUGACGAAAGAAGACAGCAGAGGCACCAAGUUGCAGGAAAAGGCAUGGCUGUGGACGUUCUCGUUGACACAAGGAGUCAAUCUUGAUUCUAAGAGGAGCCCAGAUGAUGUCAAGGUUCAUGUGGAAGAUGGGCUCAUAGAUCCAUGCAGAGUCAUCUGAGUCUGCACUGGUAUUAGCCAAUGACUAGUCUGGUAUGCACUCUGAACCGAAGACUGCCCUGGGGUCAGCAUCUGGACUGCCAUGACUGGAGUUCAAGGUCCUGGCUUUUCUGCUGAGGGACCAGAGUUCUCACACACUGUGUCUUCUUUCAAGUCAUGACUCUGAUUUCCUGGGAUGGGCCAGUGUAUCCAGUGCCCUGUAGAGCAGCCUGUUUCGGGCUUGGUAGUGGAAGGAAGCAUCGAGGCUCCCACGUCAUGCCUACAUUCAGGAUCUAUGUUCAGCUCUGCCUCCAGCAGCAGGUUACUCUUUUCAUGAAGAGGAGGAGGACAAAGCGUAUACUUCAGCCCAGCCACAACGUCAGCACAAAGCUCAAGGCCAGCUGUGGGCUCUUGGAAUAAUUGAGUGAGGCAGAGAAAUGCAGGGUCAUGAUGACAGAGAGAGAAUCUUAGCUGGGGUCUAGAAGUGAUCAAGAGACAUAUUCAGAGUGUACUGUAGAAAAAUAAAAUCUUUAUUAAUAUUUAAAAUUAACUUUGAG
Molecule: long non-coding RNA, 1772 nt
Filed under: Equus asinus (donkey)
Lineage: Eukaryota; Metazoa; Chordata; Mammalia; Perissodactyla; Equidae
Description: lncRNA (ENSEASG00005028505.1)
Source: RNAcentral